RNAcentral lists this ribosomal RNA (492 nucleotides) under uncultured bacterium. Its description in RNAcentral is "partial 16S ribosomal RNA". It matches the Rfam family "Bacterial small subunit ribosomal RNA", at positions 29 to 507 of the family's 1533-position model. The record is from RNAcentral.
AGUGAACGCUGGCGGUAGGCCUAACACAUGCGAGUCGAACGGCAGCACAGUAAGAGCUUGCUCUUACGGGUGGCGAGUGGCGGACGGGUGAGGAAUACAUCGGAAUCUACUUUUUCGUGGGGGAUAACGUAGGGAAACUUACGAUAAUACAGCAUACGACCUACGGGUGAAAGCAGGGGAUAUUCGGACCGUGCGCGAUUGAAUGAGCGGAUGUCGGAUUAGCUAGUUGGCGGGGUAAAGGCCCACGAAGGGGACGAUCGGUAGCUGGUCUGAGUGGCUGGUCAGCCACCUGGGAGCGUAGACACGGUCCAGACUCCUACGGUACGCACCAGUCGGGAACAUUGGACAAUAGGCGCAAGCCUUAUCCAGCCAUACCGCGUGUGUGACGAAGGCCCUCCGUUUGUAAUGCCCUCUUUUUGGUUAAGAACAGCAGCCGCUUAUUACCCCGCUUUUCUGACGGUACUCAAUGAAUAAGCACCGGCUAACUUCGUG